ACCCYUGACUUUUGAAAGGGUGCAAUUAUUAGAGCAACCCAWUCACCUUCGGGUGCUGUUUGCUGACUCUGAAUAACGCAGCAUAUCGGCGGCUUGUCCGCUGAUAUUCCGAAAAAGUGUCUGCCCUAUCAACCUGAUGGUAGUCUAUUAGUCUACCAUGGUUAUUACGGGUAACGGAGAAUAAGGGUUCGACUCCGGAGAGGGAGCCUUAGAAACGGCUACCACAUCCAAGGAAGGCAGCAGGCGCGAAACUUAUCCAAUCUUGAAGAGAUGAGAUAGUGACUAAAAAUAAGAAGACCAUUCCUAUGGAACGGUCAUUCCAAUGAGUUGAUCAUAAACCUUUUUUCGAGGAUCCAGUGGAGGGCAAGUCUGGUGCCAGCAGCCGCGGUAAUUCCAGCUCCACUAGUGUAAAUCGUCAUUGCUGCGGUUAAAAAGCUCGUAGUUGGAUCUGAGUCACAUGCAGUGGUUCACCUUUGGUGUUAAUCGCUGUUGUGACUAUUUGCUGGUUUUCUACUAGGGCUUCGGCUCUCUUUAGUGGCUAGCGAGUUUACUUUGAAUAAAUUAGAGUGCUCAGAACAAGCGUUUGCUUGAAUGGUCGAUCAUGGAAUAAUAAAAGAGGACUUCGGUUCUAUUUAUUGGUUCAGGAACUGAAAUAAUGGUUAAGAGGGACAAUUCGGGGGCAUUCGUAUCCCUGCGCGAGAGGUGAAAUUCGUGGACCGCAGGGGGACGCCCUAAAGCGAAAGCAUUUGCCAAGAAUGUCUUCAUUAAUCAAGAACGAAAGUCAGAGGUUCGAAGGCGAUUAGAUACCGCCCUAGUUCUGACCGUAAACUAUGCCAUCUAGCGAUCCGAUGGGGUAUUAUUGCCUUGUCGAGGAGCUUCCCGGAAACGAAAGUCUUUCGGUUCCUGGGGUAGUAUGGUUGCAAAGCUGAAACUUAAAGAAAUUGACGGAAUGGCACCACCAGGAGUGGAGCCUGCGGCUUAAUUUGACUCAACACGGGAAAACUCACCCGGCCCGGACACCGCAAGGAUUGACAGAUUGAAAGCUCUUUCUCGAUUUGGUGGUUGGUGGUGCAUGGCCGUUCUUAGUUGGUGGAGCGAUUUGUCUGGUUUAUUCCGAUAACGAGCGAGACUCUAGCCUGCUAAAUAGUGGCUGGAUUUUCAAGUCCAGUCUACUUCUUAGAGGGAUAAGCGGUGUUUAGCCGCACGAGAUUGAGCGAUAACAGGUCUGUGAUGCCCUUAGAUGUCCGGGGCUGCACGCGCGCUACAAUGGAAGAAUCAGCUGGCCUAUCCAUUGCCGAAAGGCAUUGGUAAACCGUUGAAACUCUUCCGUGACCGGGAUAGGGAAUUGUAAUUAUUU
This 1357-nucleotide ribosomal RNA is filed under the name Heligmosomoides polygyrus. RNAcentral's name for it is "SSU rRNA". It matches the Rfam family "Eukaryotic small subunit ribosomal RNA", at positions 175 to 1615 of the family's 1831-position model. Lineage: Eukaryota; Metazoa; Nematoda; Chromadorea; Rhabditida; Heligmosomidae. The record is from RNAcentral.